AUUCAAGAGGCCACGAAGAUCUAUGGAUCCUUAUGAGCCCUGAGGUAGUCCUGUAUGGGUAUCACAGGGGUGGUAGCUGGCUGGUCUUCCUCAAGAAGGCAUCAGUAAGGCGAAGGACAGCAGGUUGCCAGAAGGAGGUGGUAUUGAGGCUACCUGGAUGUGCCGUGACCAGAAGCAGGUGGAUAUUCCAGCUGUGAUUGGCUCGUGGAUGAGCCAAUAGGAGUGGAGCAGGGGGUAUAAAAACUGGUCGCAGCCUUGCUCUGGGGCAAGACGUUGCUAAGACAAUACACGACAAGAUGCUGUCCUGCCUCCAGUCCCUGCUAGGCUGUGAGAUGAGUACUUCCACUCGCCACUGCCCACCACUGUCAUUUCACUGCACUUGCAUAUAACUGUAUAAUGUAAGUACUCUGUGUGCCACCUUGUACUGUAUUAUUUUCUGUGCCAUUAAACUAAAGGAAUUGU
This is a long non-coding RNA of Portunus trituberculatus (swimming crab), 462 nucleotides long. RefSeq lists it as uncharacterized. The transcript has 2 exons. The record is from RefSeq and is a predicted model, not a curated record. Lineage: Eukaryota; Metazoa; Arthropoda; Malacostraca; Decapoda; Portunidae.